RNAcentral lists this ribosomal RNA (1240 nucleotides) under uncultured prokaryote. RNAcentral's name for it is "bacterial SSU rRNA". It matches the Rfam family "Bacterial small subunit ribosomal RNA", at positions 89 to 1381 of the family's 1533-position model. The record is from RNAcentral.
UUGAGAGCGGCGAACGGGUGCGUAACACGUUGAUACCUGCCCCUAAGUCAGGGAUAGCCCACUGAAAAGUGGAUUAAUACCGGAUAGUCUCUUCGGAGUAAAAAUUUAUUGCUUAGAGAGGGGGCUGCGGCCUAUCAGCUAGUUGGUGAGGUAAUAGCUCACCAAGGCUAUGACGGGUAACUGGUCUGAGAGGAUGAUCAGUCACAAUGGAACUGAGACACGGUCCAUACUCCUACGGGAGGCAGCAGUGAGGAAUCUUCCACAAUGGACGAAAGUCUGAUGGAGCGACACCGCGUGAAGGAUGAAGGUCUAACGAUUGUAAACUUCUUUUCUGAGGGAGCAUAAUGAGAGUACCUCAGGAAUAAGGGACGGCUAAAUACGUGCCAGCAGCCGCGGUAAUACGUAUGUCCCAAGCAUUACCCGGAAUCACUGGGUGUAAAGGGUUCGUAGGUGGAAAAAUAAGUUAGAUAUGAAAGACCGAAGCUCAACUUCGAGUUUGUGUUUAAAACUGUUUUUCUAGAAUCAGGGAGAGGUAAGCGGAAUUUUAAGUGUAGGGGUGCAAUCCGUAGAUACUUAGAAGAACACCAAAAGCGAAGGCAGCUUACUGGAACUGUAUUGACACUGAGGAACGAAAGCGUGGGUAGCGAAAAGGAUUAGAUACCCUUGUAGUCCACGCCCUAAACGAUGAUAACUAAGUGUUGCGACUUGCUCGCAGUGCUGAAGCUAACGCGAUAAGUUAUCCACCUGAGGAGUACGGUCGCAAGAUUAAAACUCAAAGGAAUAGACGGGGACCCACACAAGCAGUGGAUCACGUGGUUUAAUUCGACAAUAAACGGGAAACCUUACCCAGACUUGACAUCUACCGAAUCUUUUAGAAAUAAGAGAGUGCCUUUAUUGGAACUUAGUGACAGGUGCUGCAUGGUUGUCGUCAGCUCGUGCCUUGAGGUGUUCGGUUAAGUCCGUUAACGAGCGCAACCCAUGUUCUUAGUUAUUAUGUCUAAGAAGACUGCCUUGGUUAACAAGGAGGAAGGUGUGGAUGACGUCAAAUCAGCAUGGCUCUUACGUCUGGGGCUACACACAUGAUACAAUGGUGUAUACAAAGAGUUGCGAUAUGGUAACAUUGAGCUAAUCUCUUAAAAUACAUCUAAGUCCGGAUUGAGGUCUGAAACUCGACCUCAUGAAGUUGGAAUUGCUAGUAAUCGUGAAUCAGAUAUGUCACGGUGAAUAUGUUCCUGGGUCU